Molecule: small RNA, 117 nt
Filed under: Pongo abelii (Sumatran orangutan)
Lineage: Eukaryota; Metazoa; Chordata; Mammalia; Primates; Hominidae
Description: Metazoan signal recognition particle RNA (ENSPPYG00000041672.1)
Source: Rfam by way of RNAcentral
GCUGGGUGCGGUGGCUCACACCUGUAAUCCCAGCACUUUGGGAGGCCGAGGCGGGUGGAUCACCUGAGGUCAGGAGUUUGAGACCCGCCUGACCAACAUGGUGAAACCCCACCUCUA